CCGGCUGCAGCUGCUGCUGCGGCGCCCGCGCUCCGGUGCGCUCCGCCUCCUGUGCCCGCCGCGGAGCGCAGUCUGCGCGCCCGCCGUGCGCCCUCAGCUCCUUUUCCUGAGCCCGCCGCGAUGGGAGCUGCGCGGGGAUCCCCGGCCAGACCCCGCCGGUUGCCUCUGCUCAGCGUCCUGCUGCUGCCGCUGCUGGGCGGUACCCAGACAGCCAUUGUCUUCAUCAAGCAGCCGUCCUCCCAGGAUGCACUGCAGGGGCGCCGGGCGCUGCUUCGCUGUGAGGUUGAGGCUCCGGGCCCGGUACAUGUGUACUGGCUGCUCGAUGGGGCCCCUGUCCAGGACACGGAGCGGCGUUUCGCCCAGGGCAGCAGCCUGAGCUUUGCAGCUGUGGACCGGCUGCAGGACUCUGGCACCUUCCAGUGUGUGGCUCGGGAUGAUGUCACUGGAGAAGAAGCCCUCAGUGCCAACGCCUCCUUCAACAUCAAAUGGAUUGAGGCAGGUCCUGUGGUCCUGAAGCAUCCAGCCUCGGAAGCUGAGAUCCAGCCACAGACCCAGGUCACACUUCGUUGCCACAUUGAUGGGCACCCUCGGCCCACCUACCAAUGGUUCCGAGAUGGGACCCCCCUUUCUGAUGGUCAGAGCAACCACACAGUCAGCAGCAAGGAGCGGAACCUGACGCUCCGGCCAGCUGGUCCUGAGCAUAGUGGGCUGUAUUCCUGCUGCGCCCACAAUGCUUUUGGCCAGGCUUGCAGCAGCCAGAACUUCACCUUGAGCAUUGCUGAUGAAAGCUUUGCCAGGGUGGUGCUGGCACCCCAGGACGUGGUAGUAGCGAGGAAUGAGGAGGCCAUGUUCCAUUGCCAGUUCUCAGCCCAGCCACCCCCGAGCCUGCAGUGGCUCUUUGAGGAUGAGACUCCCAUCACUAACCGCAGUCGCCCCCCACACCUCCGCAGAGCCACAGUGUUUGCCAACGGGUCUCUGCUGCUGACCCAGGUCCGGCCACGCAAUGCAGGGAUCUACCGCUGCAUUGGCCAGGGGCAGAGGGGCCCACCCAUCAUCCUGGAAGCCACACUUCACCUAGCAGAGAUUGAAGACAUGCCGCUAUUUGAGCCACGGGUGUUUACAGCUGGCAGCGAGGAGCGUGUGACCUGCCUUCCCCCCAAGGGUCUGCCAGAGCCCAGCGUGUGGUGGGAGCACGCGGGAGUCCGGCUGCCCACCCAUGGCAGGGUCUACCAGAAGGGCCACGAGCUGGUGUUGGCCAAUAUUGCUGAAAGUGAUGCUGGUGUCUACACCUGCCACGCGGCCAACCUGGCUGGUCAGCGGAGACAGGAUGUCAACAUCACUGUGGCCACUGUGCCCUCCUGGCUGAAGAAGCCCCAAGACAGCCAGCUGGAGGAGGGCAAACCCGGCUACUUGGAUUGCCAGACCCAGGCCACACCAAAACCUACAGUUGUCUGGUACAGAAACCAGAUGCUUAUCUCAGAGGACUCACGGUUCGAGGUCUUCAAGAAUGGGACCUUGCGCAUCAACAACGUGGAGGUGUACGAUGGGACAUGGUACCGUUGUGUGAGCAGCACCCCAGCCGGCAGCAUCGAGGCGCAAGCCCGUGUCCAAGUGCUGGAAAAGCUCAAGUUCACACCACCACCCCAGCCACAGCAGUGCAUGGAGUUUGACAAGGAGGCCACGGUGCCCUGUUCAGCCACAGGCCGAGAGAAGCCCACUAUUAAGUGGGAACGGGCAGAUGGGAGCAGCCUCCCAGAGUGGGUGACAGACAAUGCUGGGACCCUGCAUUUUGCCCGGGUGACUCGAGAUGAUGCUGGCAACUACACUUGCAUUGCGUCCAACGGGCCGCAGGGCCAGAUUCGUGCCCAUGUCCAGCUCACUGUGGCAGUUUUUAUCACCUUCAAAGUGGAACCAGAGCGUACAACUGUGUACCAAGGCCACACAGCCCUACUGCAGUGCGAGGCCCAGGGGGACCCCAAGCCGCUGAUUCAGUGGAAAGGCAAGGACCGCAUCCUGGACCCCACCAAGCUGGGACCCAGGAUGCACAUCUUCCAGAAUGGCUCCCUGGUGAUCCAUGACGUGGCCCCUGAGGACUCAGGCCGCUACACCUGCAUUGCAGGCAACAGCUGCAACAUCAAGCACACGGAGGCCCCCCUCUAUGUCGUGGGUAUGGGCUGGGGAGGGGUGUGCUGCACAGGAAGUGGUGGGCCCAGACGUUUGUCACCUUGUACUCAGCCCCUGUGUACAGAACAUGGCACAGAAGCCAUUUUUGUGGCAGCGGUGGGGAUUCGGCCGUCUCACCAUGCUGCUGCACAGUCUUAGAGUCCUUGCUCAGAGCCGGGCUGUCGUUUAUUUAACAUCCAACGGUCGGUGUGUGUGUGUGUGUUGCGGGGGGGUGGGGGGGUGUUCUCUUCCUACAAUACUGCCUCCCAGGUUCCUGCAGCAGCCACACAUAUCUCUGGGUGGCUGGGGAGGAGGACCAGGUCAGAAUGCAGUAGGACAAGGUUCUUUUCUCCAGGAGGCCCAGAGAGGAUGAUGGGUCAGGUAAAAGGCCCUGCACUUAACUCUCUGCCCCUGGGAGACUUAUUUCUCCUCUGGGGACUUGUUUCUGCAUCCACAGGUGAAGGUGGUUUAAAUGAGAAGCUCUUAAACUUUCUUGGUUUGGCAGCAGCGUUAUUUUUCUAGACAAAGUAUAAUGUGAAAGUUUAAAUGGAUGAAAAUGAACUGAGGAGGCCCCCUUGGUGGGAGCCACUGGGGUGUGUGUGGCAGUUGGGGGAUCCUGCAUGGUCUCCCUUCAUUCCCCUAAUGCCUCUUGAGGCCCCUCAGUGUGGGCCAUUAAAAGGCCCCUAGACCAGCAGAUCCCUUCUACAGAUCUGCUUAUUGAAAAACCUGCUCUUUGCCAGGCAGUGCCUGGAAUUCUAAACCUGAAGCUCCCAAAUGCUGCUCUCCGGGGCCUGGCUCACAUUAUCAAGUCACUUGGGAAGCUUAACAAAUAACGUGGGUUUGUGGUAGCUCCUUGACAGGUGUGCUUAUCCGUGUUGCCUGUCUUGGCUUCCGAUGCAAAGCCAGCUUGGGAACCCCUGGCCUCAUCUCCUUCAGAGUCUUCGUUUGACCUUGGUGGGGCAUGAGGACCUGCUGGCCCUUGUUAAAGCCAGUGAAGGUGGUGACCCUCCCGGGCCAUCUGUUAAGUUGCCCUGUUGAUGGGGUUGGGAGGAGUUAGUAGAGAAGCAGGGCUUGUUUUGCUUAGCAGCCCCUGCCCAGACCCAUCUGUGUGUCUCUCAGACAAGCCUGUGCCGGAGGAGUCGGAGGGCCCUGGCAGCCCUCCCCCUUACAAGAUGAUCCAGACCAUUGGGUUGUCGGUGGGUGCCGCUGUGGCCUACAUCAUUGCCGUGCUGGGCCUCAUGUUCUACUGCAAGAAGCGCUGCAAAGCCAAGCGGCUGCAGAAGCAGCCCGAGGGCGAGGAGCCAGAGAUGGAAUGCCUCAAUGGUGGGCCUUUGCAGAAUGGGCAGCCCUCAGCAGAGAUCCAAGAGGAAGUGGCCUUGACCAGCUUGGGCUCCGGCCCCGCGGCCACCAACAAACGCCACAGCACAAGUGAUAAGAUGCACUUCCCACGGUCUAGCCUGCAGCCCAUCACCACGCUGGGGAAGAGUGAGUUUGGGGAGGUGUUCCUGGCAAAGGCUCAGGGCUUGGAGGAGGGAGUGGCAGAGACCCUGGUACUUGUGAAGAGCCUGCAGAGCAAGGAUGAGCAGCAGCAGCUGGACUUCCGGAGGGAGUUGGAGAUGUUUGGGAAGCUGAACCACGCCAACGUGGUGCGGCUCCUGGGGCUGUGCCGGGAGGCUGAGCCCCACUACAUGGUGCUGGAAUAUGUGGAUCUGGGAGACCUCAAGCAGUUCCUGAGGAUUUCCAAGAGCAAGGAUGAAAAAUUGAAGUCACAGCCCCUCAGCACCAAGCAGAAGGUGGCCCUGUGCACCCAGGUAGCCCUGGGCAUGGAGCACCUGUCCAACAACCGCUUUGUGCAUAAGGACUUGGCUGCGCGUAACUGCCUGGUCAGUGCCCAGAGACAAGUGAAGGUGUCUGCCCUGGGCCUCAGCAAGGAUGUGUACAACAGUGAGUACUACCACUUCCGCCAGGCCUGGGUGCCGCUGCGCUGGAUGUCCCCCGAGGCCAUCCUGGAGGGUGACUUCUCUACCAAGUCUGAUGUCUGGGCCUUCGGUGUGCUGAUGUGGGAAGUGUUUACACAUGGAGAGAUGCCCCAUGGUGGGCAGGCAGAUGAUGAAGUACUGGCAGAUUUGCAGGCUGGGAAGGCUAGACUUCCUCAGCCUGAGGGCUGCCCUUCCAAGCUCUAUCGGCUGAUGCAGCGCUGCUGGGCCCUCAGCCCCAAGGACCGGCCCUCCUUCAGUGAGAUUGCCAGCGCCCUGGGAGACAGCCCCGUGGACAGCAAGCCGUGAGGAGGGAGCCCGCUCAGGAUGGCCUGGGCAGGGGAGGACAUCUCUAGAGGGAAGCUCACAGCAUGAUGGGCAAGAUCCCUGUCCUCCUGGGCCCUGAGGCCCCUGCCCUAGUGCAACAGGCAUUGCUGAGGUCUGAGCAGGGCCUGGCCUUUCCUCCUCUUCCUCACCCCUCAUCCUUUGGGAGGCUGACUUGGACCCAAACUGGGCGACUAGGGCUUUGAGCUGGGCAGUUUUCCCUGCCACCUCUUCCUCUAUCAGGGACAGUGUGGGUGCCACAGGUAACCCCAAUUUCUGGCCUUCAACUUCUCCCCUUGACCGGGUCCAACUCUGCCACUCAUCUGCCAACUUUGCCUGGGGAGGGCUAGGCUUGGGAUGAGCUGGGUUUUUGGGGAGUUCCUUAAUAUUCUCAAGUUCUGGGCACACAGGGUUAAUGAGUCUCUUGGCCCACUGGUCCCACUUGGGGGUCUAGACCAGGAUUAUAGAGGACACAGCAAGUGAGUCCUCCCCACUCUGGGCUUGUGCACACUGACCCAGACCCACGUCUUCCCCACCCUUCUCUCCUUUCCUCAUCCUAAGUGCCUGGCAGAUGAAGGAGUUUUCAGGAGCUUUUGACACUAUAUAACCCGCCCUUUUUGUAUGCACCACGGGCGGCUUUUAUAUGUAAUUGCAGCGUGGGGUGGGUGGGCAUGGGAGGUAGGGGUGGGCCCUGGAGAUGAGGAGGGUGGGCCAUCCUUACCCCACACUUUUAUUGUUGUCGUUUUUUGUUUGUUUUGGUUUUUUUGUUUUUGUUUUUGUUUUUACACUCGCUGCUCUCAAUAAAUAAGCCUUUUUUAC
This 5282-nucleotide small RNA is filed under the name Pan troglodytes (chimpanzee). RNAcentral's name for it is "retained intron". The record is from RNAcentral. Lineage: Eukaryota; Metazoa; Chordata; Mammalia; Primates; Hominidae.